RNAcentral lists this ribosomal RNA (496 nucleotides) under uncultured bacterium. RNAcentral describes it as "partial 16S ribosomal RNA". It matches the Rfam family "Bacterial small subunit ribosomal RNA", at positions 28 to 506 of the family's 1533-position model. The record is from RNAcentral.
GAUGAACGCUGGCGGCGUGCCUAAUACAUGCAAGUCGAGCGAACAGACGAGGAGCUUGCUCCUCUGACGUUAGCGGCGGACGGGUGAGUAACACGUGGAUAACCUACCUAUAAGACUGGGAUAACUUCGGGAAACCGGAGCUAAUACCGGAUAAUAUAUUGAACCGCAUGGUUCAAUAGUGAAAGACGGUUUUGCUGUCACUUAUAGAUGGAUCCGCGCCGCAUUAGCUAGUUGGUAAGGUAACGGCUUACCAAGGCGACGAUGCGUAGCCGACCUGAGAGGGUGAUCGGCCACACUGGAACUGAGACACGGUCCAGACUCCUACGGGAGGCAGCAGUAGGGAAUCUUCCGCAAUGGGCGAAAGCCUGACGGAGCAACGCCGCGUGAGUGAUGAAGGUCUGCGGAUCGUAAAACGCUGUUAUUAGGGAAGAACAAAUGUGUAAGUAACUAUGCACGUCUGGACGGUACCUAAUCAGAAAGCCACGGCUAACUACGU